CCUACGGGAGGCAGCAGUGGGGAAUAUUGCUCAAUGGGCGCAAGCCUGACCCAGCAACGCCGCGUGAAGGAUGACUGCCCUCCGGGUUGUAAACUUCUUUUAUAAAGGACUAAAGUGACGCAAGUAUGCGUUUUUGCAUGUACUUUAUGAAUACGGAUAGGCUCAGUCCGUGCCAGCAGCCGCGGUAAUGCGGAGGAUGCGAGGGUUGUACGGAUUUAUUGGGUUUAAAGGGAGCGUAGGUGGGGUGUUAAGUCAGGUGUGAAAGUUUGCGGCUCAACCGGACAAUUGCAGUUGAGACUGGAGGUCUUGAUUACAGUAGAGGUAGGCGGAAUUCGUGGUGUAGCGGUGAAAUGCGUAGAUAUAACGAAGAACACCGGUGGCGAAGGCAGCUUACUAGUCUGUCACUGACACUGAGGCUCGAAAGUGUGGGUAGCAAACAGGAUUAGAUACCCGUGUAGUC
RNAcentral lists this ribosomal RNA (460 nucleotides) under uncultured bacterium. Its description in RNAcentral is "partial 16S ribosomal RNA". It matches the Rfam family "Bacterial small subunit ribosomal RNA", at positions 338 to 795 of the family's 1533-position model. The record is from RNAcentral.